GAUCCUGGCUCAGGAUGAACGCUAGCGACAGGCUUAACACAUGCAAGUCGAGGGGCAGCAUGGUAGGUAGCAAUACUUAUUGAUGGCGACCGGCGCACGGGUGAGUAACGCGUAUGCAACUUACCUAUCAGAGGGGGAUAGCCCGGCGAAAGUCGGAUUAAUACUCCAUAAAACAGGGAUCCCGCAUGGGAAUAUUUGUUAAAGAUUUUCGCUGAUAGAUAGGCAUGCGUUCCAUUAGG
This 239-nucleotide ribosomal RNA is filed under the name uncultured bacterium. RNAcentral describes it as "partial 16S ribosomal RNA". It matches the Rfam family "Bacterial small subunit ribosomal RNA", at positions 15 to 245 of the family's 1533-position model. The record is from RNAcentral.